RNAcentral lists this small RNA (84 nucleotides) under Marmota monax (woodchuck). The record is from RNAcentral. Lineage: Eukaryota; Metazoa; Chordata; Mammalia; Rodentia; Sciuridae.
GCUGGGUAUGGUGGUGCACACCUGUAAUCCCAGCAACUUGGGAAGCUAAGGCAGGAGGAUCACAAGUGUGAGACCCUGUCUCAA